CUUCUUAACAUGACUGUUUUACACAUACAAAACUUUUUUGUAUCAUAAAUUUACCCCCUCAAUUUUGCCAUUUAAGACCGAGAUAACUCAUAUGACAUAACUUUUAUAAAAUAAAUAGUUUUGACCCAAUUUUUCUUCUUUUUAUUAUUUGAAAUUAUACUAUAGGAGCUAUAUUUCAUAUUUGGUCUAAACAUUUUAUCGCUAAAGUUUUCUUUCUAUCACACACAAUUUGUUCUCCCAUUUAUAAUAUACCCAAGUUUUGCCAGUUUUGCACAAGUGGUAGCUUGGAAUCGAUGUCAAUGAUCCACACUUUUUAUUCUAUAUUUGAAAAAAAGAGUGUAAAACUGUUGCAAACUACAAUUUGUCAAUUUUUUUUUCUAAUUUGUCAUUUUUCCCCCUAAUUUGUUAAUUUUUUUUUACUACACCCUACUCUACUUUAAUAUGACCAGUUUUAAGAAAAAUGAAAUUGCCAGAAUUUGUCACCCGGAAAAUAAUUUAUUUUACAAUUCUUGUUUGCACUUCAUUUCCGGAAAAGUUAUCUUAAUGCAUGACAUCUAUAUCUGUCUCACACAAACACUUUUAAGUGGAAUUAAGGAAAUUUUUGUUGGUAAAUUACUUGUGUCAUUUAUGUAGUAAAUAUUGCUUACAAGUGCAGCUAGGUUACAAUCAUGAUUCAUGUAACAAUGAUAAUAUUAUAAUAAAUGUUAAUGUAUUGUUUCUCUUGUUUAAAAUAUUAUACUAAAAGACGCAGGACAUUUAAGUGAAGGUUCACGAAGGGUUAAAAUUGGCCCUGAUUUUUUUAUGUUUUUUAAAUU
RNAcentral lists this long non-coding RNA (815 nucleotides) under Mytilus galloprovincialis (Mediterranean mussel). Lineage: Eukaryota; Metazoa; Mollusca; Bivalvia; Mytilida; Mytilidae. The record is from RNAcentral.